This 70-nucleotide transfer RNA is filed under the name Psettodes erumei (Indian spiny turbot). RNAcentral describes it as "tRNA-Ile". It matches the Rfam family "tRNA". From Rfam's summary of the family: Transfer RNA (tRNA) molecules are approximately 80 nucleotides in length. Their secondary structure includes four short double-helical elements and three loops (D, anti-codon, and T loops). RNAcentral also lists the same sequence under 1 other name. The record is from RNAcentral. Lineage: Eukaryota; Metazoa; Chordata; Actinopteri; Pleuronectiformes; Psettodidae.
AGAGCCGUGCCUGAAUUAAAGGACUACUUUGAUAGAGUAAAUCAUGGGGGUUAAAAUCCCCCCAGCUCUC